This 483-nucleotide ribosomal RNA is filed under the name uncultured bacterium. RNAcentral's name for it is "partial 16S ribosomal RNA". It matches the Rfam family "Bacterial small subunit ribosomal RNA", at positions 28 to 507 of the family's 1533-position model. The record is from RNAcentral.
GACGAACGCUGGCGGCGUGCUUAACACAUGCAAGUCGAACGCUGAAGCUCAGCUUUUGUUGGGUGGAUGAGUGGCGAACGGUUGAGUAACACGUGAGUAACCUGCCUCCUUCUUUGGGAUAACGCCCGGAAACGGGUGCUAAUACUGGAUAUUCACUGGUCUUCGCAUGGGGGUUGGUGGAAAGGGUUUUUCUGGUGGGGGAUGGGCUCGCGGCCUAUCAGCUUGUUGGUGGGGUGAUGGCCUACCAAGGCUUUGACGGGUAGCCGGCCUGAGAGGGUGACCGGUCACAUUGGGACUGAGAUACGGCCCAGACUCCUACGGGAGGCAGCAGUGGGGAAUAUUGCACAAUGGGCGCAAGCCUGAUGCAGCGACGCCGCGUGAGGGAUGGAGGCCUUCGGGUUGUGAACCUCUUUCGCUCAUGGUCAAGCCGCAACAAUGGUUGUGGUGAGGGUAGUGGGUAAAGAAGCGCCGGCUAACUACGUG